Molecule: long non-coding RNA, 211 nt
Filed under: Elaeis guineensis (African oil palm)
Lineage: Eukaryota; Viridiplantae; Streptophyta; Magnoliopsida; Arecales; Arecaceae
Description: long non-coding RNA (EGUI_LNC031531)
Source: RNAcentral
CAUACUUUUCCCGACCGACUGAACCUAGAAGUCUGUUGGCUGACUCACGCAAGACUCGCCGACCAACAGAGGGGCCCGACGCCACUCAGCUGGCCACCGACCUAGGGUCGGUCGACUCCUCCGAUCGCCGUACAGCCGCCAAAGCUUGUCAGUUCUGACAGCAACAUGCGGCACGGCCACCUAGGGGCAUUGUCCCGCCGAGGGCAUUGUC